This 253-nucleotide ribosomal RNA is filed under the name uncultured bacterium. Its description in RNAcentral is "partial 16S ribosomal RNA". It matches the Rfam family "Bacterial small subunit ribosomal RNA", at positions 524 to 776 of the family's 1533-position model. The record is from RNAcentral.
UACGAAGGGGGCUAGCGUUGCUCGGAAUUAUUGGGCGUAAAGGGUAGGUAGGUGGUCUCAUUUGUCUGGGGUGAAAGCCUUGAGCUUAACUCAAGAAGUGCCCCGGAAACGGUGAGACUCGAGUUCUGGAGAGGGUCGUGGAAUUCCCGGUGUAGCGGUGAAAUGCGUAGAGAUCGGGAGGAACACCAGAGGCGAAGGCGGCGACCUGGACAGAUACUGACACUCAACUACGAAAGCGUGGGGAGCAAACAGG